GGAGGGUGCAAGCGUUAUUCGGAAUCACUGGGCGUAAAGAGCGCGUAGGCGGUUUCUAAAGUCAGAUGUGAAAGCCCGGGGCUCAACCCCGGAAGUGCAUUUGAAACUUAGGGACUUGAGUAUGGGAGAGGGAAGUGGAAUUCCUGGUGUAGCGGUGAAAUGCGUAGAUAUCAGGAGGAACACCGGUGGCGAAGGCGACUUCCUGGACCAAUACUGACGCUGAGGCGCGAAGGCGUGGGGAGCAAACAGGAUUAGAUACCCUGGUAGUCCACGCAGUAAACGUUGAACACUAGGUGUAGCGGGUAUUGACCCCCUGCUGUGCCGCAGCUAACGCAUUAAGUGUUCCGCCUGGGGAUACGGCCGCAAGGCUA
Molecule: ribosomal RNA, 371 nt
Filed under: uncultured organism
Description: partial 16S ribosomal RNA
Rfam family: Bacterial small subunit ribosomal RNA
Source: RNAcentral